This 55-nucleotide transfer RNA is filed under the name Heligmosomoides polygyrus. RNAcentral's name for it is "tRNA-Asp". Lineage: Eukaryota; Metazoa; Nematoda; Chromadorea; Rhabditida; Heligmosomidae. The record is from RNAcentral.
AAAAUCUUAGUAUAAUGAGUAUAAUUUAUUGUCAAUAAAUAGGUUAGUGAUUUUA